Molecule: long non-coding RNA, 1598 nt
Organism: Mesocricetus auratus (golden hamster)
Lineage: Eukaryota; Metazoa; Chordata; Mammalia; Rodentia; Cricetidae
Exons: 4
Source: RefSeq, a predicted model, not a curated record
CGAGCGAGCGAGCGCGUGACACGGCGAGCGCGGGCCGUGGGAAGCUGCUCGGCGGGUCGCGCGCUCGCCUGGCGAUGGCGGCUUGGCUCUUUUUAUUCCCAAAGGCCGAGCGGGACCGUUCACCCAUGCUGAGGCGAGGAGAGCGCGCGUGCAGGUUGCUGGUUGACCACAGAUUAAGACACUGAGGCUCGGGCUGCCCAGGAUCCUCUUUUCCCGCCUAACCUCCGUCUACGAGCCCGACCGACGUUCCUCCCGAGGCCCUGCUGUGUAAAAUGAGCCCCACCUGAGGACUGCACGGGCCAGGGAGCGCGAGCGAACUCAGGUCCGCGAGGCAGGACAGUGGUCCUGCUUUUCUAUUCAUCAUCUACUGCAGAACAUCAUCUUAGCAUAGACUUGACUAAGUACCUUUUGAGAAAUCUUGGAAAUAAAGUCUCCCUGAUGAACAUAAGGGGGCAUCUUUACACGUGUGAAGCCGAACAAGUGUUAUUAAAGAUCUACAUCGAAACUAUCUGGGAGACCAUCAUCCAAAUGAAAAUGUAUAAAAUAUGACAUCAUGCCUUUAGUUCACUCUUUUUUUAUUAAAAAUUUUCAUGCUACUGAUUUGUUUUAUGAUAGUACAGUUGACUUCGGCAUUCUCUGUAGUAAACAUAUACUUUAGGGGUAUUGAUUUGGGGAAUUGUAAAUAAGGAGAAUGAGAGAAAUAGAACAUUGAGAAUAUCCCCAAAUUAUUUGUAAAUAUUGAUGUUUCAUAUUUUUACACGAACAGUACAGCUUAGAAUAAGACAAAAAGUAGCAGGAGCUGUGGUAAAGAAAAUAACCAUUUCUGCGCAGGAACAAAAAAGACAGAUUAAUUUCAGGUGGGGAAAAUCUAUAUGAACUCAUCCCAAGCACUAAAAGGACAGUAAACUAAAGUGUCACGAGGCUGCUUUCCUGGCAGCACACUGCACAUGGGCUGUUGUUGUGUCAGCCGCCGAACUCUGGAAAGCUGCAGUUCUCUACCUGUGGGUUGUGACCACUACAGGGGUCGCAUAUCAGAUAACCCACAUGUCAGAUAUCUGCAUUAGGAUUCUUAACAGUAGCAAAACUACAGUUAGGGAAUAGCAAUGGAAUAUGCUACAGGGGGGGUCACCACAGCAUGAGGAACUGUAUUAAAGAAUCACAGCAUUGGGAAGGUUGAGAACCACUGCUAUAAAGGUAUAUAAAAGGCAUUCCCUGUGUGCCCCAAACUGCCUUUUCUCCUGCAGAAGAAUCGAGGGGGGGAAUUGUAUUCUUUAAAUAGAAAAUAUGAGUGCUGUAUGUGCAGUGGCUUUUAAAACAAAGAAUAUGAGAUGAGGUAAUAGACAAUAUACCAUCUGAUUUCUGGAAAGACCUUGUGACUGUAACAGAAUUCCUUCAGAUUUCUCAGAUUAAUUAUUCUCUCUUCUGCUAUUUUAUCUAACUAUAAAAACCACUCAAGUUGAUCUAACCAUGCUAUUAUUUGAAAAUAUGGGCUUCUGAAUAUUGCUUUACUUCUGGAUGAUUUUGAAUGCAUAUCUAUCAUAGAAUUACUGUACUUUUUCUUUACCUACAUGCACCUGUAAUAAAACAUUUUGUAUUAA